RNA transcript from Hypanus sabinus (Atlantic stingray), 4742 nucleotides. It is a transcript of the gene named zinc finger CCCH domain-containing protein 10-like, with no coding region annotated. The transcript has 3 exons. Lineage: Eukaryota; Metazoa; Chordata; Chondrichthyes; Myliobatiformes; Dasyatidae. The record is from RefSeq and is a predicted model, not a curated record.
UGUAUCAAAGAUUUGCUCAAAGAUUAAAGAUUAGCUUUACUUGUCAAAUGUACAUAGAAACAUGCAGUGAAAUAUAUAUCAUUUGUGUCAAAUCAACGAGGAUUGCGCUGGGAGCAGCCUGCAAGUGUUGGCACAUUGCAUGCCCACAAUUCUUUCUUGACAUUACUGAAGGUCAUAUGUAUUGGCUAUUGAAGCACAGAUUUGUUUGAAUAACCUUCUCAGGCAGUUGGUGAUGUGAUGUGCUUGGAACUGAGGAGGGGGGAGCUGUUCCAUGUCUUGCCCCUAAACAUUUGCUGGAUAGAUUAGUUUCUUGCCUGAAGACAUUUAAGUGUUAAUCUACAUAUCCAAAGAGAUUGAUCAAAUUAAUGUGUCAUCUUUGACUGUCCUCUAUACAACUGCCAAGGCUCUUGGAUUCUCACCUUAAUCCUAACCUCUUGGAGUUUUCCGUCUCCAACCAAAGGCCUCUGAUGACACAUUAACCAUCAAGCAUCUGUUUACACUAAUCCCAACAUUGUCCACUAUCCCACCCCCAAACUCUCCCAUUUAUCCACACCCUAGCGACAAUUUAGAGAGGCCAAUUAACCUACCAACCUAUAUAUCUUUCGAAUGUCAGAGAAACGGAGCAGAACAACCCAUGGAGUCACAGGGAGAACAUGCAAACGCCACAUAAACAGCCAGUUGUCAGGGCUAAACCCAGGUCACUGGAUCAGUGAGACAGUAAUUCUUACAGUCAUCACAUCUCCCUUUAACUCGAUACUGCUUGACUGUCAGCAUUUGAUAUUUUUCUUUCAAAUCUAGCAUUUGCAGUUUUUCUUUCAACAUUUGUGCUUUAGUAUGUUGCUACAUUAACAGUCCUACAAAGUGGUUUGGAUGACGUUUCUACGUUCUAAAGUCAUUGUGUAAAUUAAUUUUUUAAAAAAGAGCUCCUUGCCCUAAUUUUAGAUGUCAAUAUGUUCAUGCAAUCUGGUUGUAGCUUGAACUCCAGCGAUGCGGAUUUGCCCCUGGAUUUCGCUCCGGUGAACAGUUUACAAGUCUGAAAUGUUGCCAUAACAGAGUUCCCACACAGCAGAAAAUGCUUGUGGCCACGACAAAUCCAUCCCACCGGUUUCCCAAAUGCUCAUUUGUAUAUAUGGGUUGUACAUCGGUCAGCUGUUCAUAAGCUAGGGAGAUCUGUAUUAGGAAUACAUUUAGUGGCUACAAUGUGAUUUUAUGACAGGGCCAAAAUUAACCAAGUUGUGUCAUUUAAUCUGGUGGUUUCUUGUGUUUGUAGGUUCAAUGAUCAGUUUGUUUUAAGAAAUUGUCCCUUACAUCUUUUAAAGGUAUUUGUCCUUUAAUAAUUAAGCCACCUGCUGAUUCAGCUUCAACCAGACGUGAAACAGCAGGUCAGUCAAAAGUUCCACCUUUAUGGCUAUUCACCCAAUGCAUUUUGUGGUCAAUUCCAGCCUAUAGUAAGGCCUGACUUGAGGCUAGGAUCAUCCAUCUGGUCCAACUGUGGGGACUACAUUGGAAGGAGGCUUGCUGUGGGGCACCUGCCUGUUUUGGAAAUCUAAUCUGUUGUGAUAAGCAGAGCUGUUUGAUCCAGUGAUAUGGGAAAAGGGUGAAGGAGUUCCCACAUAACAUAUUGAUGUCUUAAAGCAGAGAACUGGAAUUGUUCCUUAAGAAGAAUGAAGCAGUUUGCAGUUUUUCAGGACUCCCACUGUCUAAGCAGGGCCAUUACCAGCCUCGAAAGGCUGUUCUCUAUGAAGGUGAUGCCUUGUUUGCUGAAUUCCUUGGUGCAACCAAAUUAUCCCCUCUCCAGUGAAUGUGUUCUCUGCAAAAGCUUGCCCGUGCCAUUAAUGUUACAAAAAUAAACUCAAUAAAUGUCACCACCCUGAUGCUAUCCUGUGAUCUUGUAUAUUCUACAAAGUGUGGUAGAAAUGUAGUAACUUACUGUUAUACCCCAUUUACAGCAAAUGUAAGGCUUGCUGACUCAAAGCAACAUCUAAGGAUCCCCACUGUCUGGAUCGUCCCUCCUCUCAGUUACUUUCAAGCAGGAAGUACAGAAGCCUGAAAUCUCAUGCUACUGGGUUCAAGAACAGUUUUUCCUACGAUCGUCGGGUUUUCAAACCAACCUACUUUAGCAAUGGAAGAAAACAGUCCAUCUCUUGCACUACCAUGGACUUGUUUUUGUAUGUGAUUUUGAGCAUAAUAUCAUUGCUUUGCACAAUCUUUAUCUUCUAUAAUUUCUACUGUGUAUGUGAUGAAGCUGUUCCAAGGGAGUUUUUCAUUGUACCUGUAUGUUACUGUACAAAUUUGACUUGACUGUACAGCAAGAUCCCAUGGUCAUCAAAUGGUAUGCAGAUGACUGUGGAUAACCCAUUUCCAUCUCUCCCCAUCUGACAUUCAAAACAGUGCAAUGGAUAUCUUGAUGUUCUCCUUAGCAGACUUCAGGAUCUCAUCUAAAAAGUAUGUUCCUCUGUCGCAUUCACUCAGUUCACACCCCACUGGGAAAUACUUUUAAUAAUUUGCAAACUGAGCUGCUGAGUUUUUUCAAAGGCUGGCUUUAUCAAUAGAGCCUCUUAUUAACCAGGUGUACUUUCAGGUCUUGCAGUUAAUGGGGAGAUACACAAUGAAAAAGAACACAUAAGACUGCAUAGGAAUAGAGCUUAGAACAUAGAAAACCAAUAUAGACUCUUUGGCCGCCAGUGCUGUGCCGAACAUGUACUUAGUUUAGAAAUUACCUAGGGUUACCCAUCGCCGCCUAUUUUUCUAAGCUCCAUGUACCUAUUCAGGGGUCUCUCAAAAGACCCUAUUGUGUCUGCCUACACUACCGUGGCCAGCAGCCCAUUCCAUGCACUCACCACUCUGUGUAAAAAAUCUUACCCUGACAUCUCCUCUGUACCUAUUUCCAAGCACCUUAAAACUGUGCCCUCUUGUGCUAGCCAUUUCAGCCCUGGGGAAAAGCCUCUGACUAUCCCCACAAUCAAUGCCUCUCAUCAUCUUGUACACCUCUAUCAGGUCACCUCUCAGCCUCCAUUGCUCCUAGGACAAAAGGCUGAGUUCACUGGACCUAUACUUAUAAGGCAUGCUCCCCAACCCAGGCAACGUCCUAAGUCUACUCUGCACCCUUUCUAUAGUUUCCACAUCCUUCCUGUGACCAGAACUCAGCACAGUACUCCGGUGCACUGUAUGCCUCCUAGUGGAUUUGAGUGUCCUUUGAGCUGGGACCCCAAGAUCCCUCUGAUCCUCCAUAUUGCCAAGAGUCUUAACAUUAGUAUUAUAUUCUGCCAUCAUAUUUGACCUACCAAAAUGAACCACCUCACACUUACCUGGGUUGAACUCCAUCUGCCACUUUUCAGCCCAGUUUUAUAUCCUAUCGAUGUCCUGCUGUAACCUCUGACAGCUCUCCACACUAUCCACAACACCCCCAAUCUUUGUGUUAUUAAAUUUACUAACCUAUCCUUCCACUUCCUCAUCCAGGUCAUUUAUAAAAAUCACAAAGAAUAAGGGUCCCAGAACAGAUCCCUGAGGCACACCACUGGUGACUGAUCUCCAUGCAGAAUAAGACCCGUCUACAAUACUCCUUGCCUCCUGAGGGCAAGCCAAUUCUGGAUCCACAAAGCAAGGUCCCUUUGAUCCCAUACCUCCAUACUUUCUCAAUAAUCCUUGCAUAGGGUACGUUACCAAAUGCCUUGCUGAAAUCCAUACACUCUGCAUCUACUGCUGUACCUUCGUCAAUGUGUUUAGUCACAUCCACAAAAAAUUCAAUUAGGCUCAUAAGGCAUAAGCCUUUGACAAAGCUAUGCUGACUAUUCCUAAUCAUAUUAUUCCAAAUGUUCAUAAAUCCUGCCUCUCAGGAUCUUUCCAAUCAACUUAACAACCACUGAAGUAAGACUCACAGGUCUACAAUUCCAUGGGCUAUCUCUACUCACUUUCUUGAAUAAGGGAACAACAUCUGUAACCCUCCAAUCUUCUAGAACCUCUCCUGAACCCAGCAAUCUCCUCCCUCACCCUCCACAGUAGCCUGGGGUACAUCUUAUCUGGUCCUGAAGACUUAUCCAACUUGAUGCUUAGCAAAAGCUUCAGCACAUCCUCUUUCUUAAUGUCUAUAUGCUCAAGCUUUUCAAUCCGCUGUAAGUCAUCCCUACAAUUGCCAAGAUCCUUUUCCAUAGUGAAUUCUGAAGCAAAGUAUUCAGUAAUUACCUCUGUUAUCUUCUUGGUUCCAUACACACUUUUCCACUGUCACACUUGAUUGGUCCUAUUCUCUCAUGUUUUAUCCUCUUGCUCUUCACAUACUUGUAGAAUGCCUUGGGUUUUGUUUAUUCCUGCUUACCAAGGCCUUCUCAUGGCCCCUUCUGGCUCUCCUAAUUUCAUUCUUAAGCUCCUUCCUGCUAGCCUUAUAAUCUUAUAGAUCACUAUCAUUGCCUAGUUUUUUGAACCUUUCGUAAACUUUUCUUCUUGACUAGAUUUUCAACAGCCUUUGUACACCAUGAUUCUUGUACCCUCUCAUCCUUUCCUUUCUGGAGUAAGGGUUUAAAUCGGGUGGGCAAACUUUUUGACUCGUGGGCCACAAAGGGUUCUAAAAUUUGACAGUGGGGCCGGACCAGGAGCAGAUGGACGGAGUGUUUUGGUAAUACACCUCAUAAGAGAAAAUAAAAUAUCAUGGGAUAUGUAGAAAACAUGCGCUUUAAUUUCAAUUGAAAAUGAACAAAUGCAUUACAACAAAAUAUCUGUCUUUGAAGUCCCAUGGUAUUUAGCUAUUU